Molecule: long non-coding RNA, 1240 nt
Filed under: Nicotiana tabacum (common tobacco)
Lineage: Eukaryota; Viridiplantae; Streptophyta; Magnoliopsida; Solanales; Solanaceae
Description: long non-coding RNA (NTAB_LNC009258)
Source: RNAcentral
UACUUCAGCUUUUAUCCAUUUAGAGAGUUGGGCUAAAUGUUUGUUGUUGGAACAAACCUUUGUAUGUCAUCAGUAUCAACUCAUUUCAUCUUAUUGUUAAUGACUUGACAAAUUUGAAGAAAUCUUCAAUGGAAGCUUAUCUUGGAAAGUUCAAAGCCUUAUGACUGAAAAAGAUUGCAAAUUUUAUUGAUAGUGGCACCAUUUUGUAACGACCCAGACGGUCGUUUUGAGUAUUACGGUCAUGUUCCCCCAUUUAGUUCUCAAUUUAUGCUUUAUUGUUGUUGUAUGACUUGUCGGGGUAAUUGGUUCGGGUCCGGAGAGAUUUCGGAAUGAAUUGAGACACUUAGUCUCUUAAUGGAAAGCUUUAAGUUGGAAGAGUCGACUGGAUGUCGAUUUAUGUGUAAACGAUCUCGGAUUCGAAUUAUGAUGAUUCUAAUAGCUCAGUAUGGUGAUUUUAGACUUAGGAGCGUGUCUGAAAAAUUAUUUGGAGAUCCGUAGUGGAAUUAGGCUUGAAAUGGCGAAAGUCGAAUUUUUGGGAAGUUUGACCAGGGGGUUGACUUUUUGAUAUCGGGGUCGGAAUCCGAUUCUGAAAAUUUUAAUAGGUCUGUUAUAUCAUUUAUGACUUUUGUGCAAAAUUUGAGGUCAAUCGGACUUGACUUGAUAGGUUCCGGCGUCGUUUGUAGAAAUUUAAAAUUUCAAAGUUCAUUAGGCUUGAAUUGGGGUAUGAUUCGUGGUUUUAGUGUUGUUUGAGGUGAUUUGAGGGUUCGACUAAGUUCGCAUGAUGUUUUGGGACUUGAUGGUAUGUUUGGUUGAGGUCCCGGGGGCUCUGGUGAGUUCUGGGAUGGUUUUGGAUCAUUUUUCCUUGUUUUGCAACUGCUGGAACUGGUGUCUGGUGUUGUUCUUCGCGAACGCGAAGAAGGAUUUUGGGUUGUUGGGAUUUGCCCAUCGCGAACACGAUGAAGGAGACGCGAACGCGAAAAGGGAGUUGGGGAAAGCCUACGCGAACGCGAGUGGGCGGACGCGAACGCGGAGAGGAAAGGGAGCUGGGGGCCUGCCUGGCGUUAAGCCUUCUCGAACGCGGCUCGUGUCUCGCGGACGCGAAGGGCAGAGGUCGGAAGGCAUCGCGAACACGAUGAGGAGAUCGCGAACACGAAGAAGGAAUCUUGGCAGCACAUUUUUGUGCUUCGCGAACGCGAUGAAGGCAUUUCUGGGCAGAAUUAAAAGUUCCAAAACGGGGGUU